Molecule: ribosomal RNA, 311 nt
Filed under: uncultured eukaryote
Lineage: Eukaryota
Description: partial 18S ribosomal RNA
Rfam family: Eukaryotic small subunit ribosomal RNA
Source: RNAcentral
CCCCUAGACGUUCUGGGCUGCACGCGCGCUACAAUAAUACGCACAGCGAGUAUCACCGAGCUCGAAGGGGCAAGGUAAACAAUAGAAAAGGUACUGUAAUGGUUAUAGAUCCUUGUAAUUAUUGAUCUUCAACGAGGAAUUCCUAGUAAGUAUGUGUCAUCAUCACGCACUGAUUACGUCCCUGCCCUUUGUACACACCGCCCGUCGCUCCUACCGAUUGGGUGAGCCGAUGAAACUCUCGGAUGUAGGCUAUUCAUAGCCCGCAGAAGAGAUUUGAAUCGUAGCGCUUAGAGGAAGGAGAAGUCGUAACA